Molecule: ribosomal RNA, 253 nt
Filed under: uncultured bacterium
Lineage: Bacteria
Description: partial 16S ribosomal RNA
Rfam family: Bacterial small subunit ribosomal RNA
Source: RNAcentral
GACGAACCGUGCGAACGUUGUUCGGAAUCACUGGGCUUAAAGGGCGCGUAGGCGGCUCGCGAGGUCGGGGGUGAAAUCCCACGGCUUAACCGUGGAAGGGCCUUCGAUACCGGCGGGCUGGAGGAAGGUAGGGGUGCGCGGAACUUCUGGUGGAGCGGUGAAAUGCGUUGAUAUCAGAAGGAACGCCGGCGGCGAAAGCGGCGCACUGGACCUUUUCUGACGCUGAGGCGCGAAAGCCAGGGGAGCAAACGGG